AACGCGAAGAACCUUACCCAGGCUUGACUUCCUUGGAAUUUCUCCGAAAGGAGAGAGUGCUUUAUUGAACCAAGUGACAGGUGCUGCAUGGCCGUCGUCAGCUCGUGUCGUGAGAUGUUUGGUUAAGUCCAUCAACGAGCGCAACCCUUGUGUUUAGUUGAAUUUUUCUAAACAGACCGCCCUGGCAACAGGGAGGAAGGAGGGGAUGAUGUCAGGUCAGUAUUGCCCUUACGCCUGGGGCUACAAACACGCUACAAUGGCCGGUACAAAGGGCUGCCAAGUCGCGAGACGGAGCAAAUCCCAUCAAAGCCGGUCCCAGUUCGGAUUGCAGGCUGAAACUCGCCUGCAUGAAGUCGGAAUCGCUAGUAAUGGUAGGUCAGCUAUACUACCGUGAAUACGUUCCCGGGCCUUGUA
Molecule: ribosomal RNA, 414 nt
Filed under: uncultured Candidatus Saccharibacteria bacterium
Lineage: Bacteria; Candidatus Saccharimonadota
Description: bacterial SSU rRNA
Rfam family: Bacterial small subunit ribosomal RNA
Source: RNAcentral